Long non-coding RNA from Grammomys surdaster, 599 nucleotides. RefSeq lists it as uncharacterized. The record is from RefSeq and is a predicted model, not a curated record. The transcript has 4 exons. NCBI's taxonomy places the organism in Eukaryota, Metazoa, Chordata, Mammalia, Rodentia, Muridae.
UCCCAUCAGCCCAGAUGCCUGUAAAUCUUGCAGAGAACUCCAAGGAUACAGCUUUCAUGUGUCAACAUCCAUGCUGGACUUUUGUCAAGUCACCCACGUUCCUGAUAAGUCACAAAACAACAGGACUGCUACUUAAAUAUUCUGAGAGCCAAAGGCUCAGAACACAUUGUGAACUAUGGGAUGGAAGAAUCCAGGAGCUGGAGAAUGACAAGGAGAACUGUGAAAUGUUGUCUGGACAGGACAUGGCCAUUACAGUUACAAAUUCAUAGCAACUGUGGUUUCCUAUACAAGACCAGCACAAGACCAAGCCCAUUAGCAUUCAAACAUGGACAGGACAGAAGCUUACAAAGCUCUACUGCUAAGGAAACAUUGGUUGUUGAUGCCAGCUGCGGAAGAACCUUCACCAAACCUGCCAACAUGAUUUCUAUCCUUGGGAUCUACGUAGAAGAAAGAUAGAGCUGACUCUCCAAAAUUGUCCUCUAUCUUCUGCAUGUGCACAUGGACACAAAAGGUGUUCAAAAAAAGAGCAGAAGGGACAAGCAAUUCUGUAACACAUGACCAUUAUGCGAUCCAAGAAUAAAGUCCAACAAGAUGCCCUA